AGAAGCGCAAGUGACGGUACCUGCAGAAGAAGCGCCGGCUAACUACGUGCCAGCAGCCGCGGUAAUACGUAGGGCGCAAGCGUUGUCCGGAAUUAUUGGGCGUAAAGAGCUCGUAGGCGGUUUGUCGCGUCUGCUGUGAAAACCUAAGGCUCAACCUUGGGCUUGCAGUGGGUACGGGCAGACUAGAGUGCGGUAGGGGUGACUGGAAUUCCUGGUGUAGCGGUGGAAUGCGCAGAUAUCAGGAGGAACACCGAUGGCGAAGGCAGGUCACUGGGCCGCAACUGACGCUGAGGAGCGAAAGCAUGGGGAGCGAACAGGAUUAGAUACCCUGGUAGUCCAUGCCGUAAACGUUGGGCACUAGGUGUGGGGCUCAUUCCACGAGUUCCGUGCCGCAGCAAACGCAUUAAGUGCCCCGCCUGGGGAGUACGGCCGCAAGGCUAAAACUCAAAGAAAUUGACGGGGGCCCGCACAAGCGGCGGAGCAUGCGGAUUAAUUCGAUGCAACGCGAAGAACCUUACCAAGGCUUGACAUACACCGGAAAAGUGCAGAGAUGUGCUCCCCGCAAGGUCGGUGUACAGGUGGUGCAUGGUUGUCGUCAGCUCGUGUCGUGAGAUGUUGGGUUAAGUCCCGCAACGAGCGCAACCCUCGUCCCAUGUUGCCAGCGGGUUAUGCCGGGGACUCAUGGGAGACUGCCGGGGUCAACUCGGAGGAAGGUGGGGAUGACGUCAAAUCAUCAUGCCCCUUAUGUCUUGGGCUUCACGCAUGCUACAAUGGCCGGUACAAAGGGCUGCGAUACCGCGAGGUGGAGCGAAUCCCAAAAAGCCGGUCUCAGUUCGGAUUGGGGUCUGCAACUCGACCCCAUGAAGUCG
This 869-nucleotide ribosomal RNA is filed under the name Cellulomonas sp. M75. Its description in RNAcentral is "bacterial SSU rRNA". It matches the Rfam family "Bacterial small subunit ribosomal RNA", at positions 459 to 1328 of the family's 1533-position model. The record is from RNAcentral. Lineage: Bacteria; Bacillati; Actinomycetota; Actinomycetes; Micrococcales; Cellulomonadaceae.